Molecule: unclassified non-coding RNA, 391 nt
Filed under: Hevea brasiliensis (rubber tree)
Lineage: Eukaryota; Viridiplantae; Streptophyta; Magnoliopsida; Malpighiales; Euphorbiaceae
Source: RNAcentral
UUCAUAGUCUUAGCAGAAGGAAUCCACCCAAUUGCGCUAAAGAUAUCCUUCUGGAACAGAUUUUGGCUGUAGAAUGCAAUGUCAAGCAAGAACCAAGUAGUGGUUGUCCCAAGCAAGUGAAUUCCAUGGCGACGAAGAAAUUCUUUAGAGAACAAACCAAAUGAAUUGGAUUGAUCCUGAGCUAGCUGCUGACCCUUUUGCUCCUCUGCCUCAAGAUCAACCUGCAGAACUUUGGACAUAUCAGAAGCAGCCUGUUUUGCAUUCUUAGCAACAAGGGCAGUGUAACGAGCGGUUUCAGGCAUCUUCAUUCUCCAAUAGUAGGUAAGUGCAGCGGGAAGUGCUCCAACCAUUAGAAUUAUGCUCCAAACAUAGUCUGCCUGUGGGACAGUUG